AGCUCCAAUAGCGUAUAUUAAAGUUGUUGCAGUUAAAAAGCUCGUAGUUGGAUCUGAGGAUUAGAGCCACAGGUUGGUCGUUAGGCUACACUUGUGGCUCAGCCUACAUAGUCGGUGAUUGUUUUGGUUCUCUUUAUUGAGUGCCUUAAUUGCCCGUCCACGUUUACUUUGAAAAAAUUGGAGUGCUCAAAUCAGGCCCAUUGCCUGAACAGAUGUGCAUGGAAUAAUGGAAAAGGACUUCGGUUCUAUUUUGUUGGUUUUAGGAACACGAAGUAAUGAUUAAGAGGGACAGACGGGGGCAUUCGUAUUGCGGUGGGAGAGGUGAAAUUCUUGGAUCAUCGCAAGACGCCCUACAGCGAAAGCAUUUGCCAAGAAUGUUUCCAUUAAUCAAGAACGAAAG
Molecule: ribosomal RNA, 400 nt
Filed under: phytoplankton environmental sample
Lineage: Eukaryota
Description: partial small subunit ribosomal RNA
Rfam family: Eukaryotic small subunit ribosomal RNA
Source: RNAcentral